Molecule: ribosomal RNA, 240 nt
Filed under: Sphingobacteriales bacterium
Lineage: Bacteria; Pseudomonadati; Bacteroidota; Sphingobacteriia; Sphingobacteriales
Description: partial 23S ribosomal RNA
Rfam family: Bacterial large subunit ribosomal RNA
Source: RNAcentral
CUUAGUACGAGAGGACCGGGUUGUAUGUACCGCUGGUGUAUCUGUUGUGCCGCCAGGUGCAGUGCAGAGUAGCUAUGUACAGAAAGGAUAAGCGCUGAAAGCAUCUAAGCGCGAAACCUUCCUUAAGAUGAAUUUACUUUUAAGUGCCGUCGAAGACUACGACGUUGAUAGGCUACAGGUGUAAAGGCAGUAAUGUCAUAGCCGAGUAGUACUAAUUGCACGUACGCUUUAACUUUAUUA